UAGGGAAUCUUCGGCAAUGGGGGGAACCCUGACCGAGCAACGCCGCGUGAGUGAAGAAGGUUUUCGGAUCGUAAAGCCCUGUUGUUAAGGAAGAACGAGUGUGAGAAUGGAAAGUUCAUACUGUGACGGUACUUAACCAGAAAGGGACGGCUAACUACGUGCCAGCAGCCGCGGUAAUACGUAGGUCCCGAGCGUUGUCCGGAUUUAUUGGGCGUAAAGCGAGCGCAGGCGGUUAGAUAAGUCUGAAGUUAAAGGCAGUGGCUCAACCAUUGUAGGCUUUAGAAACUGGUGAACUUGAGUGCAGAAAGGGAGAGUGGAAUUCCAUGUGUAGCGGUGAAAUGCGUAGAUAUAUGGAGGAACACCGGUGGCGAAAGCGGAUCUCUGGUCUGUAACUGACGCUGAAGCUCGAAAACGUGGGGAGCGAACAGG
RNAcentral lists this ribosomal RNA (429 nucleotides) under Bacteroidota bacterium. Its description in RNAcentral is "Bacteroidetes bacterium partial 16S ribosomal RNA". It matches the Rfam family "Bacterial small subunit ribosomal RNA", at positions 355 to 776 of the family's 1533-position model. Lineage: Bacteria; Pseudomonadati; Bacteroidota. The record is from RNAcentral.